Molecule: long non-coding RNA, 1136 nt
Organism: Ipomoea triloba (trilobed morning glory)
Lineage: Eukaryota; Viridiplantae; Streptophyta; Magnoliopsida; Solanales; Convolvulaceae
Exons: 3
Source: RefSeq, a predicted model, not a curated record
UAUGCUCAAAGUUCCAUAACAAAUUAAACGUAGUGCUCAUCAUUUCUACCCCGGAACGGCGUCGGCGUCAUAUCCACACCGUAACUCAGUCUAUCCCUUCCGAUCCGUGCUCGUCGUCAUAUUCGUCGUCUACGCCUUCAGCCACCGCACCUAUUGAUCUAGCUUGUUUGUUAAUGAAGAGAUAGAUGAUGAAGCAGGAGAGCAGGCAAUAACAAUUCAAGUGCUGUUAGCAGGAUCAAGAACAGUAGGCAUAUAUUUAAGGCAAAAUAUUGAUUCAUCUUGCUGGGUGGCCAAAGGUACACCAAGGCAGAGCCCGUUUGGCGCCCGGUUGCGGCGGCGGGGCUUUGCCACUAGUUGACGACGUUUGAUAUCCUCAUGCGCCUGGUAUACGUGGGAAUCGUGAUAAUGCCACAUCGCAAAUUUAUUCCUCCUUUCACUUUUGGAAUAUAAGAAUCGCCUAAGCUUCUGCAAAUACUCAAUACUGGAUUAUCAUCUCUACUCUGUUUCAAUCUAUGUAUUUUGCCCACUAAGACCACGAGAGGAGAAGGAGUUUAACUAACUCACAUCCUCAGGUAGUGCCUGCGGGUAGUUUCCUCACAUAUAUACACAAUACUGGAUUCAUUAUCAUCAGUUACCAACCUGUAAAUGACUCCCAACAUGUGCUCUCGUUAGUUUCUGCACAUUCAUGGCCUUCAAAAUUUCACUGCUCCUUACAUCCUUCUUCAUCACUUCUAAAACUUUGUUUGGCACUACUCGUUCUCCUGCAUGUAAUCAAAUUUUGAAAUGUACUAAAAUAAUUUUUAAUAAAAAUUCUUUUAAAAGGAAAUUGGUAGAAGAAAAUUUUUUAAGUGUGGGAAAAAUCUGACCUUUAUCGCCUAUUAAGAUAACGGCCUGCAACAAUAUGAGAUGAAAUUCAACAUUCCAGAAGAGGAUCUUCGUGGUAGUUCUGUUUCUGGAUUUUUCUGCCCCGACCCGGCUGAGAUCCAACAAACUCGGCCAUCAGCUUCAGAGUUCAGGCAUCAAUGAGUGAAUGAAUGAAUGAUUGAUUGAUUAAUGAAGGAUGAGGUGACUGAGAAGUCUGCAGACAGUCACACACUGUAAACACAUAUAUAUACAGUUUAUGGAUUUUCCUGGAA